RNAcentral lists this long non-coding RNA (375 nucleotides) under Rosa chinensis. Its description in RNAcentral is "sRNA RchiOBHm_Chr7g0206101". Lineage: Eukaryota; Viridiplantae; Streptophyta; Magnoliopsida; Rosales; Rosaceae. The record is from RNAcentral.
UUGACUAUACUCUGAUCCUGUGUCUUCCAUGCUAUGUAAUCAGCUGAGGUAGUGGUUGUGGAGCCAUCCGUGGAUGAAACAAACUGAGGUGGACAAGGAGUAGAGCCAUCCACAAAUCCAAAAAGGUUUUGGCCCCGGAGGAAUGAUUCCAUCCUGAACAACCAGAUAGGAUAGUUUAACUCAUCUAACAGUAUAUUGGGAAGGUAGACGGUGGUUUGAGUGGUGUGAGUGAGAUUUUGAGCUGUAGAUACUGUCAUGAUUCUGAAUUAAUGUGAAACAAAUAGACCAAUGGUCAGGAUUUUUGCAGAUCAAGGGAGGAUUUCUGCAGAUCUAAUUGGUUUUAGCUAGUACUUUGCUUGCAAGGUUCAAGAAUCA